CCUAUCCACUGGGUCCGCCCAGAAGUCUGGGAUCACGAACUGUGACAAGUCAAACUUCUUCCUCCAGCUUUCGGCUUUUUUUUUUUUUUUUUCUAUUACUUACGACGACUUUUGGGUUCUUUACAGCACAGAAAGGCGUCUGUAAUUCCCCUCCCUGUUUCAUCAACAGUAUCAGGGUACUUGUGGCAACUUCUCAGUAUUUGGUGAUGUGGAAGUUCAAAGAGUGCACUGUAGAACUUUCUAGCAGUGGGAGUCUCGCUGAUGGGCUGCUGUCGCUACUGCAUGAGUACACACCAAUGGCCAACUUGGGUGCAGUUAAGCGGCGAAAUGUGACGAGAGGGAGAGCAAAAAAACAGGGCAGGGC
Syngnathoides biaculeatus (alligator pipefish) is the source of this 364-nucleotide long non-coding RNA. RefSeq lists it as uncharacterized. The record is from RefSeq and is a predicted model, not a curated record. NCBI's taxonomy places the organism in Eukaryota, Metazoa, Chordata, Actinopteri, Syngnathiformes, Syngnathidae. The transcript is spliced from 4 exons.